UUCGUUCCAAUAUGUAUGGAGUUGAAACGUUUACCUACGUUUGCCGCUUGGGGCGCUGUUCCAAUAUCAUACAAAUUUGAGUUA
Molecule: microRNA precursor, 84 nt
Filed under: Bombyx mori (domestic silkworm)
Lineage: Eukaryota; Metazoa; Arthropoda; Insecta; Lepidoptera; Bombycidae
Description: mir-2807 microRNA precursor family
Rfam family: mir-2807 microRNA precursor family
Source: Rfam by way of RNAcentral